UACGUAGGGGGCAAGCGUUGUCCGGAUUUAUUGGGCGUAAAGAGCGUGUAGGCGGCCAGGUAGGUCAGCUGUGAAAACUCGAGGCUCAACCUCGAGACGCCGGUUGAAACCAUCUGGCUAGAGUCCGGUAGGGGAGCGUGGAAUUCCUGGUGUAGCGGUGAAAUGCGCAGAUAUCAGGAGGAACACCGGUGGCGAAGGCGGGUCUCUGGGCCGAUAUUGACGCUGAGGAGCGAAAGCGUGGGGAGCGAACAGG
Molecule: ribosomal RNA, 253 nt
Filed under: uncultured bacterium
Lineage: Bacteria
Description: partial 16S ribosomal RNA
Rfam family: Bacterial small subunit ribosomal RNA
Source: RNAcentral